AUGGAGGCGCCGACGGCGGCGCCGCGGGUGCGGUCGAUCCGGGAGACGGUGCUGGAGAGCGUGGCGGCGUACCACCAGCAGCAGCGGAUGCGCCGCAGGUUCCGCAAGAGCCUCUCCUACGCCGGGGAGCUCUCCUCCGCGGGCGCCUCCACCUCCGCCUCCCUCGCCUCGCUCGCCGGGCCCGAGGACGACGACGAGCCCUUCUGGGAGGAGGAGGAGGGCACCGUGGAGCUCGUCCAGCUCGGCGCCAACCGCGCCAAGAACGUCCUCGUCCUCAUGAGCGACACCGGCGGCGGCCACCGCGCCUCCGCCGAGGCCAUCAAGGACGCCUUCCGCAUCGAAUUCGGCGACGACUACCGGGUGUUCGUCAAGGACCUGUGCAAGGACCAUGCCGGCUGGCCGCUCAACAACAUGGAGAGCUCCUACAAGUUCAUGGUGAAGCACGUGCAGCUCUGGAAGGUGGCCUUCCACGGCACAUCGCCCCGAUGGGUCCACAACUUCUACCUCGCCGCCCUCGCCUCCUUCUACGCCAAGAAGGUUGAGGCUGGAUUGAAGAAGUACAAGCCAGACAUAAUAAUUAGUGUUCACCCCCUCAUGCAACACAUUCCUCUAUGGGUACUCAAAUGGCAAGGUCUGCAGAACAGAGUAGUCUUCGCCACUGUCAUCACUGAUCUUAACACUUGCCACCCUACAUGGUUCCAUGCUGAUGUGAAUAGGUGUUACUGCCCAUCGGAGGAAGUAGCCAAGAGGGCAGAACUGGAUGACCUAAAAAGUUCUCAGAUCCGUGUGUUCGGUCUUCCCAUUCGACCAUCAUUCUGCCGUGCUGUCCUUGUCAAGGAUGAUUUGCGGAAGGAACUUGAAUUGGAUCCUGACCUACCGGCAGUGUUGCUGAUGGGAGGUGGAGAGGGCAUGGGUCCUGUAAAGAAGACCGCGAAAGCCCUUGGAGAUGCAUUGUUUGACAAAGAGCUCGGAAAACCAAUCGGGCAGCUUGUUGUCAUUUGUGGUCGGAACAAAACACUGAGCUCCUCAUUGCAGGCUCUUGAAUGGAAAAUGCCAAUAAAGAUUAGGGGAUUCGAGACCCAAAUGGAGAAAUGGAUGGGGGCUUGUGAUUGCAUUAUAACAAAGGCUGGACCAGGCACCAUUGCUGAAGCCUUGAUUAGGGGUCUUCCUAUCAUCCUUAAUGACUUCAUACCUGGACAGGAAGUUGGCAACGUCCCUUAUGUCGUGGACAACGGCGCGGGCGUGUUCUCCAAGAGCCCUAAGGAAACGGCCGAACUUGUCGCCCGCUGGUUCGGUCCAGGCGCGGAGGAACGCAAGAGGAUGUCGGAGAACGCGUUGAAAUUGGCCCAGCCGGAAGCUGUGUUCGACAUUGUCAGAGACAUCCACGAGCUGUCCCAGGAGCAAGGGGUGAAGGCGCAGAUCUCCAGCUCCCUGACGUCGUCCUUCUUCAUACCAUCUCCUGAAGCCAGCCAUUGCCCCAGCCCCAUCCCGCUCGUGUGA
This 1500-nucleotide ribosomal RNA is filed under the name Triticum aestivum (bread wheat). Its description in RNAcentral is "partial small subunit ribosomal RNA". Lineage: Eukaryota; Viridiplantae; Streptophyta; Magnoliopsida; Poales; Poaceae. The record is from RNAcentral.